Molecule: ribosomal RNA, 486 nt
Filed under: uncultured bacterium
Lineage: Bacteria
Description: bacterial SSU rRNA
Rfam family: Bacterial small subunit ribosomal RNA
Source: RNAcentral
AUUGAACGCUGGCGGCAUGCCUAACACAUGCAAGUCGAACGGAGGUAGGGGCAACUCUACUUCAGUGGCGGACGGGUGAGGAAUGCGUCGGAAUCUACCCUAUGGUGGGGGAUAACACAGGGAAACUUGUGCUAAUACCGCAUAAUGUCGAGAGACCAAAGCAGGGGACCGCAAGGCCUUGCGCGAUAGGAUGAGCCGACGCCCGAUUAGCUAGUUGGUAGGGUAAAGGCCUACCAAGGCGACGAUCGGUAGCUGGUCUGAGAGGAUGAUCAGCCACACUGGGACUGAGACACGGCCCAGACUCCUACGGGAGGCAGCAGUGGGGAAUAUUGGACAAUGGGCGCAAGCCUGAUCCAGCAAUGCCGCGUGUGUGAAGAAGGCCUGCGGGUUGUAAAGCACUUUUGUUCGGAAGAAUCAUGCUGGUUAAUACCUGGUAUGGAUGACGGUACCGAAAGAAUAAGCACCGGCUAACUUCGUGCCAGCACG